Strigops habroptila (Kakapo) is the source of this 1861-nucleotide long non-coding RNA. The record is from Ensembl. Lineage: Eukaryota; Metazoa; Chordata; Aves; Psittaciformes; Psittacidae.
UUUUUUUCCUUUUCUCUCUUUCUUAAUUUUAUUUCUGGAUUUAAAAUAAAGAAGGGACCAUUUGGAUCCUUUGAUUUGAUCUCCACAACAAACAUCACAGGCCCUGGCUUCUAUUGAGGAAUCAAUUGCAACAUCCUCUUCAUAUCUUCUGCAUUUACUCAUACAAAUCACCCUACUCACCUAACUAUAGUCCCCCUUGGUCCUAGCUCAGUGCAUCUCCUUGGUACAUCUGCACUGCUACAACCAAAACUCAUUCCUCCCUUUCUUCUUGCACCAUACGAAGAGCUCCACCAAGCUCCAUCUUUGCUCCUUUUAAACUUCAUUAAGCCUAUUUCAUUUCUAGCCUUUAAUCUAAAUCCUCUUCCCUAAACAUCCAGUUUCACCAAUAUAAUCUGGCUAAUAGUAGAUCCAGUACAGGACUCUCUAACAAAGAUCCCAAGAGCUGUUACAUCGAAGUUCUAAAGCCAGACAUGUUAUUCCAAGCACUUGAGUGCAACCAGGCAAGCCAGACUCAGCUUUUUCCCUGAUGGAUCUUCUUAUCAGUUCACCCCCUUUUAAAGGUGCCUUAUUAACCUCACCCCAAUGUCAAACAGAUAAUCUCAGGUACUGACUUACUGUAAAAUUUAUAUAUAGUACCUACCCUAAUAUUACCUAAUAGGAACAUGCAGUUAUUUUCUCACCUGCCUUAAGCUUCCUGCCAGUCUCCCCAUCUUUCACAGGAGCACAAUUCAUUCCAACAGGCAUUAACCAUGUGUUCUCUAAAUUUAACCUGAGCUGAACAGAACCCACAGCUGUAUUUGCAUUCAUGAACAGCACUGCAACAUGAGUAACAAAGCAAGAACAAGAGAACAGGAGGUAACUGGCUCUCAGGAUCAAGCCAGUUAUCUCUUUAAUAGACCUUUAAAGACUUGUCGGUGGGUUUGAGAUUUUUUUUUUUUAGUUUUAUUUUCCCUUGCCAGGAGUGUAGUCUUGUUAAUUUCAUUUAAUUUUGUUAAUUUUCUUCACCUUUAAAGGUGAAACUCAAAUUUACCUCUGUUCUGAUUUGAAUUUUCUCCAGCUUACAGAAGACAAGUUUUCAUUAAAGAAGCUAGGCUUGCACUCCUAUUCCUUGUGCUCUAGAUUGAGCAUGUUUCAGUACUCAGUGUGCCCAGCUCUUGUCAAUGAUCAAACCAAAACUUUGCUGCAGUGCCUGUUCCUGAGGAAGACCCUGUGAGGCAGGCUUAUGAAUGAAUCCUACUGAGACCAACAGUUCCUUGUGUCUUAGAAAACUGCCUUUAAAAGGGAAAGAAGUCACAUUUCCCACCUGCAGAGCCUUGCUCUACUGAUUUGAUCACAUGAGUAAGCUAGAUGGACCAGCUGGGGAUUCCCACAUGAACAUCUCUAAUCUUAGGCAGGCCAGACACAUGACCUAGCACUGAAAUGAAAGCCCAGGGCAGCAAGCUGCCACCUGACAUCAUGCACUGCUGGAGGGGAAGUGUUUCUGCUUCACCAGUGUACUGUGACAGAAGAAACACAGCUUAAACUCUUCACUUCUCAUCACCUGGUCCAUGAGCAGUACUGGGAAAUGUCAGACAAGCAUCCGACCUGGGCACACCAGCCUCUGCACCAAAGGGGCCCUGGGGCACAACAGACCCAUCCCUUCUCCCAUCUCCUUCACAGCUUGUGGUCCUGCAUCCCCAAACUCUGCUAUAUACAGAUUCACUAAUGCCACAUGUAGAUGUGCACAGGCUGAAUACAACUGUCUCAGGUAAUACAAAUAGCCUGGUAAGCACUCACAGAUUUAAGCAGCCUGCAAAGGGAUUUUUUAGUGCAAGAAAAAUAACAUUUUCUUGUAAAAACUUCAUUGACAAAAAAAAAAAAA